RNAcentral lists this long non-coding RNA (471 nucleotides) under Rattus norvegicus (Norway rat). RNAcentral's name for it is "long non-coding RNA NONRATT028095". Lineage: Eukaryota; Metazoa; Chordata; Mammalia; Rodentia; Muridae. The record is from RNAcentral.
GGUUUGCCUUGCUGAGUCUGACGUUUGAUCUGCAGUUACCUCGUUCUGAAACUCUCCACGAUCUUCAGGGUUGACUGAGGCAAAGUCAAGCUCGUCUGCUGGCCAAUGAAGUAGGCCGAGCGUCUCACACCCUGGCUAUGUGUAGCUCUGAGGAGACAGACCUGCUUCGGCUGGAGGAGGUCUUCUCAACCACUCUUGCUCGAACCAUCAGUCUCAUCCUGCAGCCUCUGCUCUUAGCUGACCCGGAACCCUCAGAUCCCUGUGGCAAAGAGUGCCUUCGGCUUCUGCAGCAGCUGCAUGAGAGUGCCCAGCGGUUGUGGGAUGUGACAGAGCAGAGCCUGCUUUCUCUGAGGCAGAGGCUAUAUCACCCACCUUCCAUGAGUCUGGAGGCCGUCCUGUUACUGAACAAUGCUGACUAUGUCCUACAGGCCCACAUGGAGUACAUCAAAUCCUAUACUGACUGCCUGGUGG